UUUUAUGGAGUAACCUCCAAGUAUCUUAUAUGAUGAGUCACGAGAAUAGAGUUGGUGCUGGACUUUUAUUAUGAGGCAUAAAACCACUCCUCAACAGACCUAUAUUCGUAUUGAGCAAACAAAGUUCGUGGAGGCAAAACAAUCCUUCUUUAUAAAUUAAUACAUUUACUUCCCAAAACCUUUGAUUUCUAUAACCAACUAUCAAAGUAUUUCCCACUAGAACUAUAUAAUCUCCUAAAUAUAUUCUCAUAAUUACUGUGUUAGUAAGCCUGGUUUGGGAAGGAAUCUUUGGAAAGGAAGGAUUGUAAAAGCCAUAAUCCAGCAAAUAAACAAGAGGAAAUCAGCUUCUAAAGGUAAUUUUUUUUAAAACCUUGAGCUUAGUAUGAAGGAAUAUAAGGAAAUUUUAUAGCUUGGUUUGCCUAUGUAAUAUAUUGGGAAUUUUGAUAUUUGAUUUCUAUAUGAAAUUUUCUUUGAUGUACGUUCUAUAAGCUAUGAAGUCUAAGUCUUAUAGAUGUGAUCACCAAGUAUAUGAUAUAAUACUCAAUUGAGAAGUUAUUUCUAAAACUUGAGAAUUAGCAGAAUUUAAUAGAUGUAAAUAGGGUUUGAUAUCAUAAAAUGGAAAUCUAAUUUCUGCUAAAAAAAGCUUGUCUGGGUUUCAACUCGAAGUGGCCUGGCCGCGCCACUUCUCAAGUCAAGACCAGCGCGCCGUGCUGGUCCUUAGAAAGUGAAUUUUUUUCUUUUUUUUUUUUUGUAUUUCGAGUUUCUGAGCAUAUGUAUAGGAGUCUUGUAUUCUUUAAUAUGUUAUAUUUGGUGUCCAAAUUAUCCAUGAAUGGAUUGGUCUAUCAUGUAUGAAUUAAAUAAAUUUUCAAAUAAUUAGCUAAGAGGAGUUUUGAAAAAUAAAAGUAUAACCUAGCUUAGCUAGAAUCAUUUGAAGAUGUGUAUAUGUACGAUGUGCUUAUAAUGGUUCAGAUAAUGUCUAGCUAUAAGGAAAUAGACUUUGUUUAUCAUGUUCUGACAAAGUUUCCAAAUAAAGAACUAAAAUUUAUUUUAAAAAGUCAACUUGGAAGUAUUUUAAUGGAGACCUGAUUUGGUCUAAAACACCCCGAUUUAUGUGAAUAAUAUGAUAGCUUUAUUUAGAAAGGAACCUAGCAUAAUAUGGGUUGAGCAGAGCAUGAAAUAGCUCAGUUCAUAGCCUUAGAUGGAGUAGCGCGACCGCGUCACUGCUAAGCUUAUUUUUAAUACGGCAGCGCCGUGCUGCUGAGAUUUCAAGACAGGUUUGUUAUUUGUCUAAACCAUGUAGUAUACCUAAGCAAGUCCCUUAAACUGUAAUAAGAAAUUAACUUAUGAAGUGCUUAGCUUGUUCAAUUAUAGAAUGACUAGUCUAAACAAAGAUUUUUAAAAAGAAUGGCAAGACGAAUAAAAGGAAAUAAAAAGAGCAAGAUUAAAAAUCAAUAUACGUUAACGAGUUACACUAAGUUAAUAUGAUUUGAAUAUAUGUGUGUGUGACUGAUAUGUGCAUAUGAACUAAAUUGGUACAGGAUAUGUGAAGCGCAGGUAACCGUACGUUGUAAUUUUUGCGCAAGGCAAGUCUUUCAGUUCCUAUUUGCUAUAUGGGCUUUACAUGAUUAUAUGAAUUAUAUAAUACAAUUGUGGAAUGAUGAAGGUCAAUGGUUGACUAAAUCUGAUUGAGUUUUGGAAACUCCGUCUUAAAUUUAUAUUUGAUAUUAAUGUGUUACAUAUGUUGCUUAAAUUGUAUUAAUCUUGAGAUAUGAUUUGGGCAUGUUAUUAUGUGAAGCAUGGAAAUUGUUAGAUUUGUUGAGCUGUCGAGCUCAAUCUUAUAAAAAUAAACUUUUUGCAGAUCCAAGGUUCAAUGUUAUACUACUUAUUAUCUAGAAGACAUGGAUAUGAAGAUGUGCAAUGGAAUAUUGUUUCCUUUAGUUGAAACUUAGAUGGUACUAUGAUGAUGAUGUACAAGAUAUAGAUGUAUAAAUUUCUUAAAUGUUCAAUGAAUGGAAAUAUUUGUUUUGAAAUGAGAAUGUAUUGUGGUUAUUGUUUAUAUGUAGAAUUAUAUAGGUAGCGCAUCAAUAUAAAAGAUGUUAAGCAUUGGGAAUUGAACUCUUAUAGUGCAUUUACUCUGAAAAAAUAUAGGGAAUCGUAAAGUUUGCGAUUCAGGGAACGCAAGAAAUAAAUAAAAAUAGAAAAAUUUUAAUUAUCCGCAUUUUCAGCUAUUAUUUUAUCUUUGUAUACUGUUAAGCUGAAUUUAGAGAGUAUUGAACGCACAAGAUCGAGAUUAAGUUAGUCCUAAUAUUGGAUUAAGUUGGUCUCGAUUUUGGGGACGUCACAAACACUGUAUACAUAAAUAUCUGCGAUAUUAAUACAUUAAGUUAAUAAUACAAAAGAUGGAUAAUAUAAUAAUAAUUGUGAAUAGUAUAGAAAAUUUUAAUCUUGAAAUGUAAACAAUAUAAAAAAUUAAUAUGUGGUAGAUUAAAUGUGAAAAAUAUGGAUAAUUAUUAUGUGGUAGAUUGAAGAUAAUUUUGAAAUAUGAAAAGUGUGGUAUAUGAUGAUUAAGUUUCGGCUAUACACAGAGGACUUAUCAUAAGGAGUUUAAUAACUUUCUUGCUUAUCAUUUCUUCCUCUAUCUAAAAAAUACUUAAUGUAGGUGUUUCUCUUAACGUGCUAAGGCUACUUUAAGUAUUGGUGAUAUCAGUAAAAGUGCAAGAAUUGUUCAGGUGAGUUUUUGUAUAAAAGUUGUAUAAACACCCACACACAUUUACAACUCUACAUUUAGAAGAUUCAUUUUGAAAAGCUUCCUCUAAAAGAUUGUUUUGAAAUAUUAUUUUAUUCAUUCAAAAACUAUUUUGAAAUUUAUUCUACUCCGUCUUGUACACCACACAAAUAUACUAUCAAGUCACUUUUGACCAUUACAUAGUAUACAAGUUAAUGUAAACCAUUAAACUUAUAUGUGAUAGUUACUAAUUAAAUUUUAAAUAUACAUAUAAGUUAAUCAACUACAUAAAAACAGUAUUUAGUCACAUGUUAAGGUAAGAUAUACCAUUAUGUUCACACUCCUAAAUUUAAACUUACUAUCGUAAGAAAUUAUUAUUCGUUUCUUCAACUCUUAACAUUAUUUAUCAAAUAACAAUUCGUUAAAGUUUCCUUAAUAUUUUUUGUUUCAUUUAAUAUCUUUUGACUUGAACCUUCUCUGUUGAAUCCUAACUAUAUAUUUGAAUUACGAACUUUUGGACUGUUAAUAUUUUGAACUUUUCACUUUCUAUUUGAACUUUGAACAUUUUAGACUGUUAAAUUUUCUUUAUACCGUGAAUUUUACGUUAAACUUCCUAUCUAUGAAUCUUGGACAAUACCCUUGGAAUUAAAUUCAUUUCGAUAUUUAGACAUCGUGUUGACAAUUUAGACAUAGUCUUACCAUUGUCCUUUCCUGAGGUUCCACAUUGUUCUAUCUUAACUGAAAUGUUUAAGCAAAGCAAUAAUGAGCAACAUAUAUAUACCCAUAAAGUAAUAUAACAAUAAAUAUUAACAUGUGUAUAUAAGUUCAAAAUCUCAAUUGCAAGACCCCAACUUUUAUGAAUAAAGUUUUAAUUUUCUCUAAAUAUAUAUUAUAUUGAGUAAUAAGGUGCGAAUUUUGUAUAAUUUUAUAGUUGUGGGUAAUAUUUAUAAUUUUUUGCAAAAUAUGCAAGUUGUCAUAAAAUAUUCGUUUGGUCGAGGAAUAUUCGUUUUAUCAGGGAUUAUUCGUACGACGGCACAAUCAUUGGUGGACCCCACAACGGAAUUACUGUCGCAGUUAGAAAAUGACAAAAAUAACUUUUUAUAAAAAUAACGGCAAAAGUUUUACCGUUAACUGUUGAAAUAAUCGGUGAUAAAAGUACAGUAAUACGCGUGACUGCAUAAUAGCACAUUGUAUUGAUUAUUGAUGCUUACGUGAGAAGUCACUCAGUUAUACUCAAUUAUUGUCAUAGUAAUUGCUGCAUAGUAUCUCAUAUUAUUGAUUCAAUUAUUGUCACAGUAUCAUCUGCACAAUAUUUUAUAUUAUUAAAUCAAUAUUGAGACGACAAAGUUAUUCAUAUUAUUAUUUGUAUUAUUGACGAUGCCUAGAAAGUUUUGUUGAGUAAAGGGGUUUGGUCACCUAAUUGCGCGCCAAUAAGGAGAAGUCCUUAUCAGAAAUUCCCAUCUUUCCUGGGAUGGUCAUGAUCAUACCAACAACUGUCCAUCAAUGCACUACGAGUCAAUGAUGACUUUUACCACAUCAUUUGUAACAUUACAGGUCAUGAUUAUACUGAUAUAUAAUUCCUGGUCAUAAUCAUACCAAUCAACAGUCCAUCUAUGCACUACGGGCCAAAGAUGACUUUCAUCACAAUAUAAGCAUGAGGAUGAUGACAAUGAUAUAAGAACCAAUCAAACGAAAUCAAUAAUAAAUAUAAAAGAUUUUUAAUUUAUCCAGAGUUUAAAAAAAUGUCCAAAUUGUCAACAUGAUAACUGCUUUGUGGAGUAAAAUUUAAGAAUAAUAUUCACGUAUCAAAAAUAAUUUGGGACAAAAAAAAAAUCAAUUUUUUGUCGUGAAUACUACCCCGGGUGAAUAGUACUUUGUAAAUAGUAUCGCACGUAUAAAUUGUACUGUAAGACCCCAAAUUUUAUGAAAUGAAAGUAUUCAAUUUUCUUAUAAUUAUUAUUUAGUAAAUGGUUAAUAAAAGGUUGAAGUUAAGGGAGAUAUGUAAAAAUUUUGAAAAGUAUGCAAGUUGUCAUAAAAUAUUCGAUUGGUCGGGGAAUAUUCGUACGACGACACAUUCAUUGGUGGACCCCACAACGGAGGUAUUGUCGGAGUUAGAAAAUGACAGAAAUAUCUUUUUAUAAAAAUAACGGCGAAAGUUUUACCGUUAAACUUUUGAAAUACCCGGUAGAAAAAGUACAGUAAUACGCGUGGUUGAAUAGUAGCACACGGUAUUGUACAGUAUCUUUGAUUAUUGAUGCUUACGUGAGAAGUCACUCAGUUUUAUUUAAUUAUUGCCACAGUAAUUGCUGAAUAGUAUCUCACGUUAUUUGAUUCAAUUAUUGUCAUAAUAUUUUAUAUUAUUAAAUCAAUAAUUGAGAUGACAAGUUAUUCAUAUUAUUAUUUGCAUAAUUAACAAUGUCUAUAAAGUUCUGUCGAGUUAAGGGAUUUGGUCACCUAAUUGUGUUCUAAUAGGGAGAAAUCCUUAUCAGAAAGCCUCCACUUUCCUGAAAAUGAUCUGAUUGUUAAUAUUGCGAGUUAUAAUAAUAAUGAAUAAAUGUUGUUAAAAAUAUUGAGGACAUUUUUAUGAAGUAUUUGUUGUAAUUUUGAUUAUUAUAUGGACCCCCUAUUUACCUAUUUUUUAAAAUAAUCGGUAGAAAGUUAUUCGGUAUAUAUAUAAUAAUAAUAGGUGGGGGCCACAUGUGGGCCCCACGUGUGCAAAAAUAAAAUUGAGGGGGGGAACAGAAUGUCACGUUACAAUUCUUAUAAUAUAUAUAUAUAUAUAUAUAUAUAUUAUAAUAAAUUUUGUUUAUUAUGAAAAAUAGAAUAUAUUAUAUUUUAUUAUGCAUAGUGUCUGCAUAGUAUUUGCAUAGUAGAAUCAAAAUUCGUCCGUGAAUUUCAAAACCUUCGCCCGCGAACCUUUUCUACUGUGCAUCCAAAUAGUAUCCUUUCCAUUCUCCUAUAAAUAAGAUGUUCAGUUUAGAAAAGAAAAUCAUAUCAGAAUCAGAGAAUUCUUCUUCUAUAAUAUUGAGCGUAAUUCUUUAGAGUUUAAGGAAGCUUUCAGUGUAGAAAAUAGUAAAAGUUUUCUUCAAGAAUAUAUCUGCUAUACCAGUUGAAAUUGCUCUCUUUUUGAGAUAAGGGGUAUUAUUUAUUUCAUAUUCAGAAAAGAUAUUAUUUUUCGUAUUCGUAUGAAUAUUAUUUUUGUUAAAUAUUCGUAUGAAAUAAUUUAUUCUUCCAUACUCUGUAGUAUGUAAGUAAUAUAAUUUCGUUUCGUAUUCCUAAUUCUACACUCAUUUUAUUAAAGUAUUGCUUCUAUACUCCGUGAAAUUAGUAGAAUAUCCUUGAAAUUUGCGAUUCAUCUAAUAUCGUUUCACAAGGAUAUUUUUCUGAACAUUCUUGUUAAAUUUUAAGUUUUUCAUGCCGGAUUACUAUUCAUUUAUAUGACACUAUUCAUAUGUACGACAUUAUUUAUACGUACAGUACUAUUCACAAAGUACUAUUCAUGGGCACUAUUCGUAAAUAAGGCACUAUUCAUAAAUACGGUACUAUUCACAAAGUACUAUUCACAAGGUAUUAUUCACAAAAUACUAUUCAUCAGGUACUAUUUAUGAAAUACUAUUCACGGAGUACUAUUCAUAAAGUACUAUUUACGAAGUACUAUUCUUGGGAUACUAUUCACUCAGGUACUAUUCAUCCGGGGUACUAUUCAUGACAAAAAUUAAUUUCUUUUAUGUCUAAAUCAUUUUUGAUACAAAAUUAUUCUUGAAUUUUACUCCACAAAGCAGUAUCAUGUUGACAAUUUAGACAUUACUGAAUUCUGGAUAAAUUAAAUUAUAAAUUUUUAAAAAUUUAUCCUUUGCUUUCUUUUAAUUGAAUUCUUAUAUCAUUGUCAUCAUCCUCAUGCUUAUAUUGUGAUGAAAGUUAUCUUUGGCUUACGUGCAUAGGUGGACUGUUGAUUGGUAUAAUUAUGAACAUGGAUUAUUUAGUAUAAUCAUGACCUGUAAUGUUACAAAUGAUGUGGUAAAAGUCAUCCGUGGUCCAUAGUGCAUAGAUGGACUGUUGAUUGGUAUGAUUAUGACCAGGGAUUAUUCGAUAUAAUCAUGACCAUUGGUGAAAACAUGAAUAUCCUUGGCCCGUAGUGCAUGGAUAAUUCGUGGUUGUGAUACUAAUAAAUAUCCUUGGCCCGCAAUGCAUGGAUAAUUCAGUGAUGUAUAUUAUUUAUUGAGCUGAGUCUCAGCGAUAAAAUUGAUGAUAAACUUUUAAAUUAUAGAAGAUAGUAGAUAUCAUGCUCUAUUUGACUCUUCUAAUGGAUUGUUUGUUCCGCUGCAGUUGUUGAUCUAAAACUUAUUUUCUAUUGUAUUCUAUCAGUUGUUAUACUAUUGAAGGCUAACGAUAAUUUAUUCUGCAUUAUCUUAGUCAUAAUAUUUUUUAGUGGGCUAGUUGAACUCACCCUUUUCUUUCACUGUUCUCUUCAGGAAAUGAGAAUAUAGCUGAGACUAGUCGGGGAAUGGAGUAACG
Molecule: long non-coding RNA, 7240 nt
Filed under: Panax ginseng (ginseng)
Lineage: Eukaryota; Viridiplantae; Streptophyta; Magnoliopsida; Apiales; Araliaceae
Description: long non-coding RNA (PGIN_LNC014749)
Source: RNAcentral